This 773-nucleotide ribosomal RNA is filed under the name uncultured Neocallimastigales. RNAcentral describes it as "partial large subunit ribosomal RNA". It matches the Rfam family "Eukaryotic large subunit ribosomal RNA", at positions 23 to 647 of the family's 3401-position model. The record is from RNAcentral. Lineage: Eukaryota; Fungi; Neocallimastigomycota; Neocallimastigomycetes; Neocallimastigales.
AGAGAUGUGUGAUGACGCAUAUCAAUAAGCGGAGGAAAAGAAACUAACAAGGAUUCCCUUAGUAACGGCGAGUGAAGCGGGAAGAGCUCAAAUUUGAAAUCUUCAAGGUUCUACCUUGACGAAUUGUAGUUUAUAGAAGUGUUUUCUGUUAGUAGAGUGGCAAAAGUUCUUUGGAAUAGGACAUCAUAGAGGGUGAGAAUCCCGUAUUUGGUCAUUCUUUCUAGCUUUGUGAUACACUUUCAACGAGUCGGAUUGUUUGGGAAUGCAGUCCAAAAUGGGUGGUAAAUUUCAUCUAAAGCUAAAUAUUGGCGAGAGACCGAUAGCGAACAAGUACCGUGAGGGAAAGAUGAAAAGAACUUUGAAAAGAGAGUUAAACAGUACGUGAAAUUGUCAAAAGGGAAGCGUUUGACACCAGUGUUGUUUUUCCGAAAAUCAAUUACGAAUGUUUUAUUUUUGAGAAGUUAUGACUCAUCGGCUUGCUUCUCUCUUUAUGAAACUUUCUUAAUGCACUUUUCGGUUAACAAGUCAACAUCAAUUUCUUUUGUUGUAAAAGGGUAUGAGGAAGGUGGCUUUCUUUUCGGAGAAAGUGUUUAUAGCCUUGUACCUCUGCAAUCGGAGAGAUUGAGGUCUGCAGCGUAGAUCCUUCGGGGUUAGAUACAUUUGUGCUAAGUUAUAGCUUUUCAUAGACAACUUGUCGACUAUGUUUAGUCUUGUAGCUUACUCGCUUAUGCUAUUUUACCUACGCUUAGGAUGUUGAUCUGUAGUGCGUGCGC